Molecule: unclassified non-coding RNA, 2204 nt
Filed under: Hevea brasiliensis (rubber tree)
Lineage: Eukaryota; Viridiplantae; Streptophyta; Magnoliopsida; Malpighiales; Euphorbiaceae
Source: RNAcentral
AAGCAAAUGAACACCAAUGCUAACAUCACUAGAAAAGUAAUAAUAAGGCAAAUGGCCAUCAAUAUCAACACAGGAACUAAAUUGAAAACUCAUAGAAACGGAAAUCCAUUAUUCCGUCAAAGGGUAAUCACUGGAGAAAUUCCUUUUGAUUCCACAAGCAAUGUGUAGGGUUUCUUGACCCACUCCAGCCUCAAUACAGCCAACAAAGGUUUUGCAGGGAAAAAGAGCAGGCCCCAGCUAUGAAAGGGCAAACCCCAGACAUUCAAACAAAUCCAAUCACAUCCACCUUUACAAUACUUUUUGGAUGGCCAGCAUGCAGCACAGAUUUAUCAAAUCAAAAACAGAAACAGAGCCCCUCCUCUUCAAUAUUUUCCCCUCUCACUCCACAAUUACUAUCAGCCUUUGCAAAGAUGCAAAAAAACAUCCCAUUAUAAACCCAGAAAGAAAGGUAAAAUACAAAAAAAAAUAUUGUUGUUUAUGAUAAUAACAAAGAAAUUUUUAGAAAAGAGCAAAAAGGGACAUAGAAAAGGGGAAAAAAAAUGAAUUGAACAUGUGAGUAAGCGUAUGAACUGACUGUUCUACAAGGAGCUUUCUUGACCUCUCUUCAGGCCUCAGUUUUUUUUUUUGUUCACCUGGUGGCAUUGUUCUAUUGACAAUCACCUUUUACAUGUAGCCCAAAGCUUUGCUUUUUAUUUCUCUUUUACUUCUCUUUUUCUCCUUUCUAUAAUCAUUCCUUGAGGGAACAUUUAACACCAAAAUAAUAAUCGAGAAGCGCUCAAUAGACGAGUAAUCUUGAUUUUUUUUUUGUUUUAAAAAAAAACACCAAAAUGGCAGAGCCCUUAAAACCACGGUUUCCCUCUAUCGUUGCUUCUCAUCAGUUAAGCCAAAAUUUUUAUCAGAAUUAUCGAAUGCAAGUCUUUUCCUCUUAGUGCCAUUAGCACAAGUAACUGAAGAAUUCUCUAAAACAUCUAUUGGAUUCAAUUGGGCAGCAGGCGAGAGAUCCUGCGAAUUUACAAGCUUUGGUGUUUUAAGAUUCUCCAUUUCCAGUUUUUGGACUAGAGUGUAGCAUUGAAACACAUCUUCCUGUCACAGAAAAAGAACAAGAAGUUGCAAGUCUCAUUGAUCAGAAUAUGCUCUAAACUUAAUGCAUUCAUCUAAUUGUGAAUAAUUGAAUUAUAAGUGAACAAAUAAGGACUCACAAUUUCAAACCCAGAAUAAGAAAUGGAAUUCAUCUUACACUCCAAUGCUUGUCUUGUUAAGCUCUGAUCCAAAGCCAUUAAGGUGGCUGCAGCUGCUAUAACUGACGGUCUAUGAUCCAUCAAAUUGAUCUCUCUUAUUAAAGCAGAGAUGAAUCCCACAAUUCUAGAUAAUAUAUGUCUUGGUGGAGAGUCUUUGAAGAAUUUUAUGAUCAAAUAAUGAAGAAAAGCAAAAGGAGUAAUGGAAAUCAUUCUCCAUUCCAAUGUGUUUAGUACCAAAAACUCCAUUCUUUGAAUUACUUUGCUUUCAAAAUUGUAAUCCUCAGUGUGAAAUUCUGAUAAAGCAGGUGCUUUUAUCUCCUCCAUUUUUGCAGCCAAAGAAAGACAUGCCACUGAUAGUAAUCUGACAGCCCAUAAUUUCUCAUUCUCAAUAGACCUCUUGGAGAGGAAUCUAUCAAAGUAUGUAAUGGACAAAUAAGCUGUUUGGAAGCGGAAACCAAACAUUGCUCUAGUUUUAAGAAUCCAUGCGAUGGCUUCCAAGCGGACACAUUUGACCCAGUUGUCAAAACCCAUAGAUUGAUCACUUUUGAAACUAAAAGUGAUAUCUCUCUCAACCAACAUUUCCAAAUACCCAUUUUCUUCUUCUGCUCUACAUAAAUCAGCACUACCUUUUGUCAUGUCAAUGAAUGUGUCUUCAUCCGUCACUUCUUCUGCGAGACAAGUCUCGCUUUCUUGACAAAAAAGCUCAGAGAUAGAUUCACCUUCCAUGUUCUUUUCCUUCCUCUUCUUUCUAUCUAUAAAUGAAAUCUAUACCAGAAGUGCUACUAAACCCAUGUUUUAGAGAGAGAGAGAGGAAAAGGAAAGGGAUGAAGAUAAUGGGUAGCUGAAAUCUGAGCAAGAAAUGCGUUUUGCUGUUUUAUUUUUAAGGAUUGAAAGAAAAAAACUAAUUGGUUUGCUUUGGUUUUUUCUGGUGUGGUUUGUUAUGCAGCAUGUAUCUUCACCGUCUUU